UAGGGAAUCUUCGGCAAUGGACGGAAGUCUGACCGAGCAACGCCGCGUGAGUGAAGAAGGUUUUCGGAUCGUAAAGCUCUGUUGUUAGAGAAGAACGUUGGUAGGAGUGGAAAAUCUACCAAGUGACGGUAACUAACCAGAAAGGGACGGCUAACUACGUGCCAGCAGCCGCGGUAAUACGUAGGUGGCAAGCGUUAUCCGGAAUUAUUGGGCGUAAAGCGCGCGUAGGCGGUUUUUUAAGUCUGAUGUGAAAGCCCACGGCUCAACCGUGGAGGGUCAUUGGAAACUGGAAAACUUGAGUGCAGAAGAGGAAAGUGGAAUUCCAUGUGUAGCGGUGAAAUGCGCAGAGAUAUGGAGGAACACCAGUGGCGAAGGCGACUUUCUGGUCUGUAACUGACGCUGAUGUGCGAAAGCGUGGGGAUCAAACAGGAUUAGAUACCCUGGUAGUCCACGCCGUAAACGAUGAGUGCUAAGUGUUAGGGGGUUUCCGCCCCUUAGUGCUGCAGCUAACGCAUUAAGCACUCCGCCUGGGGAGUACGACCGCAAGGUUG
Molecule: ribosomal RNA, 551 nt
Filed under: uncultured bacterium
Lineage: Bacteria
Description: bacterial SSU rRNA
Rfam family: Bacterial small subunit ribosomal RNA
Source: RNAcentral